Molecule: ribosomal RNA, 400 nt
Filed under: uncultured bacterium
Lineage: Bacteria
Description: bacterial SSU rRNA
Rfam family: Bacterial small subunit ribosomal RNA
Source: RNAcentral
UGGGGAAUAUUGGACAAUGGGCGCAAGCCUGAUCCAGCAAUACCGCGUGAGUGAUGAAGGCCUUCGGGUUGUAAAGCUCUUUUAGUAGGGAAGAUAAUGACGGUACCUACAGAAAAAGCACCGGCUAACUUCGUGCCAGCAGCCGCGGUAAUACGAAGGGUGCAAGCGUUGUUCGGAAUUAUUGGGCGUAAAGAGCACGUAGGCGGCUUGAUAAGUCGGCUGUGAAAUCCCUGGGCUCAACCUAGGAAUUGCAUCCGAAACUGUCUUGCUAGAGUUUGGUAGGGGAUAAUGGAAUUCCUAGUGUAGGGGUGAAAUCCGUAGAUAUUAGGAGGAACAUCAGUGGCGAAGGCGAUUAUCUGGACCAAUACUGACGCUAAGGUGCGAAAGCGUGGGGAGCAAA